UUUUUCACGGUCUGAGGAGAGUGUGCGUUCUGAAAUGCUUGAGAACCGCUCAGGAUUUAUCUCACUGUCAUUCUGUCUGAUCUGCGAGAGGAAGCAAUAAAAGUGACUGAUUUCAACACUGUAAACACUCCUGCAGCCAGGGAAGGACCACGGGCAGUGUUUAUGAAAACCCCGGGAAAGCUUUGUUGACUGGAACAACAGAGCAUGAACAUGUAAUUCUGGCAUGUAAGGUAUCCUCAGCAUUGUCUCCAGAAAUCAGAGUUAAGCUUGACUUGGAAUCAACUUAGAGAGAUUUAGUCCAUCUAGCAAGAAACGGGCAAAUUGGUGUUUGCAUUUCUGUUGACCUGAUGACCUGCUUUUGGAGCUUAAAGGAGAAAUCGCUUAAGAUUGUCUGUUUGUAUAGUUUCAAACUCAACACACGAGAUUAGAUCCACAAAGGUGCAGUGACUUCUGACUUUGUCUGUAAUAUGGCUGCUGUCAGGGAAAAUGAAAGUGCCAGAUGGUCUUGAGAAUUCCUUCCUGGAGUGAGUGAUGACUUCACAUAGAAUGCAGAAGGUACUAUAUCCUGAGGAUGACCCGACUGAAUCAGCCUGUUAAGAGCGCCAGCAAGGCUUGCCAGCUCCCAAGGGAAAGGAAAGGAAGGAAUAUACAGAGAAAGGUGUUGAGCUUCCGGAGGGAUGAGUCUGAUUCACUGAUCAGGAGCCAUUUCUCUGUGGUCAUCUUUUAAGUCCUUAAUUUGGCUUCUGGGCCUGGACAUCUGCUGGUGUAGAGAAAGUUCACUUGUCUAGGGGUAUCCACCAGUGAACUCUGGCGUCCUGUUGGAGGGGUCAAAACACUGGGAGCAUCAAGUGAAAGCAGGAUGCUUUUACAUCUCAGGUGGUAACUUAUCACAGUUUGGAGGGAGACACCUGAGUCCGCUGUUUUCCUGGCCGGCAUUCUGUUGGCUGUGAAGUAACUCCUUUAAACUGGUGCCUUUCAUGUUUGUCUAUAGUACCAGUCUAAUUUUUAAGUUAUCUCUUAUGUACAUGGAUGCUUUGCCUGUGCAUGUGUCUGUGCACCAUGUGUGUGUCUGGUGCCUAUAGAAGCCAGAAGAAGGUGUGAGGCUUCCUGGAGUUGUCGUUACAGACAGUUGUGAGCCGCCAUGUGGAUGCUGGGAAGCAAACUCAGGUUCUCUGAAAGACCAGCCAGUGCUCUUAACCUCUGAGCCAUCUCUCCAGCGCCCAAAUUUGCCAUUUUAAAAGCCAGAAAACUGGUUUGAACCUUUGUUGAUACAAACAGAAAAAAAAAAAAAAAAAGAUGUAUUCAGCAUU
Molecule: non-coding RNA, 1310 nt
Organism: Peromyscus maniculatus bairdii (prairie deer mouse)
Lineage: Eukaryota; Metazoa; Chordata; Mammalia; Rodentia; Cricetidae
Source: RefSeq, a predicted model, not a curated record